GCGGCUGCUGUCACGUCGCGGCGCCCGAACCCGCCCGAGCGCGCGCUCGGGAGUUUCCGUGACCGUGGCGCCGCGGACGGAGCUCUUCGUUUCGUCUUUCGUCAUGGCGCCCGCGCCGAGCGCGGACGGAUUCUCCGGGACUGUUCGAGGGUGUCCUUCCUGUCUGGACGCUGAUCCUUGGACGCUGCUAGAAUCGUGACGAUUCCUGGAAUCUGCCGAUUUACCAAAGUUUCAAGAGCGUCGAACGAGACAUUUGUUUACGUCGUUCGGAGGAGUGACGCGAGAGUUGGGAAACGUCGAGAGACGACCAAAUUAUUCGUAUUUUUGUGUUGAUGGAUUCUUGCUUCUUUUCAAACGACCAUCAAGGAUUUACAAGAUGAGGCUAAAAAAUAAAUUCAUUAAUCAGUAA
Long non-coding RNA from Nylanderia fulva, 409 nucleotides. RefSeq lists it as uncharacterized. Lineage: Eukaryota; Metazoa; Arthropoda; Insecta; Hymenoptera; Formicidae. The record is from RefSeq and is a predicted model, not a curated record.